UACGGAGGAGGCAAGCGUUAUCCGGAAUUAUUGGGCGUAAAGCGUCCGCAGGUGGCGAUUCAAGUCUGCGGUUAAAGACUGGGGCUUAACCCUGGAAAGGCCGUGGAAACUGAAACGCUAGAGUGCAGUAGGGGUAGAGGGAAUUCCCGGUGUAGCGGUGAAAUGCGUAGAGCUCGGGAAGAACAUCGGUGGCGAAAGCGGCGCACUGGACCACAACUGACGCUGAGGCGCGAAAGCUAGGGGAGCAAACAGG
RNAcentral lists this ribosomal RNA (253 nucleotides) under uncultured bacterium. RNAcentral's name for it is "partial 16S ribosomal RNA". It matches the Rfam family "Bacterial small subunit ribosomal RNA", at positions 524 to 776 of the family's 1533-position model. The record is from RNAcentral.